UACGUAGGGUGCAAGCGUUAAUCGGAAUUACUGGGCGUAAAGCGUGCGCAGGCGGUUAUGUAAGACAGAUGUGAAAUGCCCGGGCUUAACCUGGGAACUGCAUUUGUGACUGCAUGGCUAGAGUUUGGCAGAGGGGGGUAGAAUUCCACGUGUAGCAGUGAAAUGCGUAGAGAUGUGGAGGAACACCGAUGGCGAAGGCAGCCCCCUGGGCCAACACUGACGCUCAGGCACGAAAGCGUGGGGAGCAAACAGG
This 253-nucleotide ribosomal RNA is filed under the name uncultured bacterium. RNAcentral's name for it is "partial 16S ribosomal RNA". It matches the Rfam family "Bacterial small subunit ribosomal RNA", at positions 524 to 776 of the family's 1533-position model. The record is from RNAcentral.